Molecule: ribosomal RNA, 492 nt
Filed under: uncultured bacterium
Lineage: Bacteria
Description: partial 16S ribosomal RNA
Rfam family: Bacterial small subunit ribosomal RNA
Source: RNAcentral
AGUGAACGCUGGCGGUAGGCCUAACACAUGCAAGUCGAACGGCAGCACAGUAAGAGCUUGCUCUUACGGGUGGCGAGUGGCGGACGGGUGAGGAAUACAUCGGAAUCUACUUUUUCGUGGGGGAUAACGUAGGGAGACUUACGCUAAUACCGCAUACGACCUACGGGUGAAAGCAGGGGAUCUUCGGACCUUGCGCGAUUGAAUGAGCCGAUGUCGGAUUAGCUAGUUGGCGGGGUAAAGGCCCACCAAGGCGACGAUCCGUAGCUGGUCUGAGAGGAUGAUCAACCACACUGGAACUGAGACACGGUCCAGACUCCUACGGGAGGCAGCAGUGGGGAAUAUUGGACAAUGGGCGCAAGCCUGAUCCAGCCAUACCGCGUGGGUGAAGAAGGCCUUCGGGUUGUAAAGCCCUUUUGUUGGGAAAGAAAAGCAGCAGGUUAAUACCCCGCUGUUCUGACGGUACCCAAAGAAUAAGCACCGGCUAACUUCGUG